GCCAUUUUGCAUAAAAACCCCUCAACUUUUAAUCCUAUACACUUCCCUUACUGGGCAGAAUUCGCGCGGAGGGACCGGUCUCCCCGACUUGGGACCGGUCCCUGAGGGCCUCCCUCGGGUGCACGCGUUUGGGAACAGGUCUCUCCCCGGGAGACCGGUCCUCGAGAGACCGGUCCUCGCCUGAGAGACCGCUCCCCGAGAGCUCGAUUUUCAGGACUUAGCCAAAUUUCGGCAUUUCUCGCUGGGACCACGUUCGGGAACCGGUCCCUCCCUGCCAGGGACCGGUUGCAUCAAGCAACCCCGCUACACCCAACCAAGGGAACCGGUCUCUC
RNAcentral lists this long non-coding RNA (332 nucleotides) under Ananas comosus (pineapple). RNAcentral's name for it is "long non-coding RNA (ACOM_LNC010074)". The record is from RNAcentral. Lineage: Eukaryota; Viridiplantae; Streptophyta; Magnoliopsida; Poales; Bromeliaceae.